This 778-nucleotide long non-coding RNA is filed under the name Monodelphis domestica (gray short-tailed opossum). RNAcentral's name for it is "lncRNA (ENSMODG00000031047.2)". Lineage: Eukaryota; Metazoa; Chordata; Mammalia; Didelphimorphia; Didelphidae. The record is from RNAcentral.
UCACAUCCACACCAUGAUACAGCAUCUGUUGUAAAAAGUGUAAAAUCCCCAGAACUGAUGUUGUUGGGGGGACAGCCUUUCCAUCCAUGCUGUCCUCAUGGAGGAACAGCCUUUCCUUUCAUGCUGUCCUCCCAAGGAACUGCUCCCCAUCUUGCUGUUCCACCUUGCUAUCCUCCUGGCCAUUCUCAACAUUACUUUCUAAAUUAAUAAAUCUCUUUUUUGUUUUUAAGCUAAGUUUUGGAGUCUUGUGUUAGGGUCCAGGUAUUCGCCCACCACCAAGGAAGACCCAUAGACAAUGCAAUCAGGCAAAAGGGUUGUUUAUUGUACUGGUGCACACCAGUGGAAACUUAGCCAUCAGAGUUCCAAGUUCCCUCCUAAAGACUCAGCCUUAAAUACUCUUCAGCAUGUAUGGUCCCCCCUCCUUCCAGUCCUUUAUCUGUUGCAUACCAUUGUUGGAAUGUUGCCGGUAUGUAUGGCUCCCCUCAGCCCUUAUCUGCUACAUACUGUUUUUGGAACCUUGACAUUUUUAUGUUACAGGGUCUUCCUGGCCUCUAAGUUCUUAUCUGGUACCCACUGCAGCUGGGAUCUUGGCAUAUUUGUGGUUCUGAACUUCCAAGGCCAGGCAGUUUUCCUGCUCAGGCCUCCCUCACUUGCAUGCUUGCAAAAGGUGACCUUCCAUUGGAACCCAUCACUCUCUUCUUUUUCGGAAAUUCUUUCAGUGGCUUCUCCCCACUUGUCCUCAAGCUCUCCUUCAGUUGUCCAGGAUUUUUCAGUCUAG